AUUGAACGCUGACGGCAGGCUUAACACAUGCAAGUCGAGCGAGGGGCGGACGGGUGAGUAAUGUCUGGGAACCUGCCUGAUGGAGGGGGAUAACUACUGGAAACGGUAGCUAAUACCGAAUACAAUCAGAUGUGCCCAGAUGGGAUUAGCUAGGAGGUGGGGUAAUGGCUCACCGCGGCGACGAUCCCUAGCUGGUCUGAGAGGAUGAACAGCCACACUGGAACUGAGACACGGCCCAGACUCCUACGGGAGGCAGCAGUGGGGAAUAUUGCGCAAUGGGCGCAAGCCUGAUGCAGCCAUGCCGCGUGUGUGAAGAAGGCCUUCGGGUUGUAAAGCACUUUCAGCGAGGAGGCGUUACUCGCAGAAGAAGCACCGGCUAACUCCGUGCCAGCAGCCGCGGUAAUUC
This 406-nucleotide ribosomal RNA is filed under the name uncultured bacterium. RNAcentral's name for it is "partial 16S ribosomal RNA". It matches the Rfam family "Bacterial small subunit ribosomal RNA", at positions 30 to 526 of the family's 1533-position model. The record is from RNAcentral.